GAUCUAGUGGCGCACGGGUGCGUAACGCGUGGGAAUCUGCCCUUGGGCGGAAUAACAGUUAGAAAUGACUGCUAAUACCGGAUGAAGUCUACGGACCAAAGAUUUCGCCCAGGGAUGAGCCCGCGUAGGAUUAGCUAGUUGGUGGGGUAAAGGCCUACCAAGGACGAUCCUUAGCUGGUCUGAGAGGAUGAUCAGCCACACUGGGACUGAGACACGGCCCACUCCUACGGGAGGCAGCAGUGGGGAAUAUUGGACAAUGGGGGCAACCCUGAUCCAGCAUGCCGCGUGAGUGAUGAAGGCCUUCGGGUCGUAAAGCUCUUUUACCCGGGAUGAUAAUCAGUACCGGGAGAAUAAGCCCCGGCUAACUCCGUGCCAGCAGCCGCGGUAAUACGGAGGGCUAGCGUUGUUUUGGAAUUACUGGGCGUAAAAGCGCACGUAGGCGGUUACUCAAGUGAGGUGAAAGCCCGGGGCUCAACCCCGGAACUGCCUUUGAAACUAGGUGACUGGAAUCGGAGAGGCGAGUGGAAUUCCGAGUGUAGAGGUGAAAUUCGUAGAUAUUCGGAAGAACAAGUGGCGAAGGCGACUCGCUGGACAAGUAUUGACGCUGAGGUGCGAAAGCGUGGGGAG
Molecule: ribosomal RNA, 627 nt
Filed under: uncultured bacterium
Lineage: Bacteria
Description: bacterial SSU rRNA
Rfam family: Bacterial small subunit ribosomal RNA
Source: RNAcentral